Molecule: RNA transcript, 1322 nt
Organism: Morus notabilis
Lineage: Eukaryota; Viridiplantae; Streptophyta; Magnoliopsida; Rosales; Moraceae
Exons: 6
Source: RefSeq, a predicted model, not a curated record
CAUCCAAACUGUGACCUUAUAAAACCUUAUCCAUUCCCCAUGGCUCAUACAGCUCCGUGAGAAAACAUUUCAAACUUCACUGGUUCGCUUGCUCACUCCGAACCCUGAAAAUCUAUUCGGGUCGGGUUAGCCCGAAACAUGGCGGCCACUUGCUUCUUGAGUAUACGACCCUCUUCGUCUUCCUCGUUAAUCGCCACCCACCACAGAGCUUCAGCCCCUUCUUCAAAACGACCCGUUUCAUGCCCGUCGUCCCAUUACUCCUUUUCUGCGCCAAUCCGGCUUCUCCUCCGCGAAAACACGGUUCCGACGCCGGAGGAGGAUCUGGACGACUACGGUUACGGCUUCAACUUCUACGACCGCAAGCCUUUUGGAACUGUUUUAUCUGCUGAGACAUUGUGUUGCAACGUGACAACCCAAAUCCAGCCGAGAAAGCCAACGAUUCGUGGAACCUUUUGGAAGCCGAAAACCAUGGUGGCUAGUAUACUCGUACUCGGGGUGGGCUUGGCCCUGACUCCUGUGGGACCUGCUUCAGCUGUCGAGUUGCCGAUUUUGGGUUCUCUGCAGCUUAGUGAGCCCUCCAACGCGCUCUCUCUUCCCACGUGGGCUGUACAUGUUUCCAGUGUGAUUGAAUGGAUUACAGCUAUGGUUUUGGUGUGGCAAUAUGGGGAAAAAUCCGGGAAUGAGUCCUGGAAAGGGCUUUCUUGGGGUAUGGUACCCUUGCUUGGUGGAGCAUUUUGUGCAUGUACAUGGCAUUUCUUUUAUAACUCUGAGUCUCUCGAGGUAUUGGUCGCUCUUCAAGCAGCCUUAACGGCUAUAGGCAACGCCACAUUGUGUUACGCUGCAUUCCGUAUAUGCAAAGCAUCAGAAGAAAGAUCCAAGAAUAAUCUUUGAAGUUCUUGCAUUUGUCUGUUUACCAAAAGAAAAAAGAAUUGAUUUGGUGAAUAUCUAUCUCCCACUUGACGAAAAAAGGACAAAUGAGGAAGCUUCCUCGUUUUGAUGUGAACAUUGAACAGGCGGCUGUCUAGAGAUUUAGAGGGAGGUUUUAUGAUCCCCUCUUGAAGGAGACACCUUUCUUCUUCUUCUCUUUUUUAACACUUGUGAUCUUGGUAGCUUUUAAAGUAGGAAGAUUGGUCUGAGCCUCUCAGAUUGGGUUAACAUGUAUCAUUGUGUCAUUUAUACUUUUGUUAAUAGUAAUAAACAGCUUCUUCUCUAAUUCCAUGAAUUUUAUUAUGGCCGUAUGAGAGCUGUAGUCGUUGUGGUUUAUGUAGAGUAAAACCUCUAUAAACAAAUAUUGUUGGGUGGGAUUAUGAGAAAAUAUUAUU